UACGUAGGGGGCAAGCGUUGUCCGGAAUCAUUGGGCGUAAAGAGCGUGUAGGCGGCCAGAUAAGUCCGCUGUGAAAUCUCGAGGCUCAACUUCGAGCUGUCGGUGGAAACUGUCUGGCUAGAGUCCGGAAGAGGAGAAUGGAAUUCCUGGUGUAGCGGUGAAAUGCGCAGAUACCAGGAAGAACACCCGUGGCGAAGGCGGUUCUCUGGGACGGUACUGACGCUGAGACGCGAAAGCGUGGGGAGCGAACAGG
This 253-nucleotide ribosomal RNA is filed under the name uncultured bacterium. RNAcentral describes it as "partial 16S ribosomal RNA". It matches the Rfam family "Bacterial small subunit ribosomal RNA", at positions 524 to 776 of the family's 1533-position model. The record is from RNAcentral.